GCGUCGUUAGCUCAGUUGGUAGAGCGUUAGCCUUUUAAUCUAGCAAGCAGAUUUGAGUCCUCCACGAGACU
Molecule: transfer RNA, 71 nt
Filed under: Angiostrongylus costaricensis
Lineage: Eukaryota; Metazoa; Nematoda; Chromadorea; Rhabditida; Metastrongylidae
Rfam family: tRNA
About the family: Transfer RNA (tRNA) molecules are approximately 80 nucleotides in length. Their secondary structure includes four short double-helical elements and three loops (D, anti-codon, and T loops).
Source: Rfam by way of RNAcentral